RNAcentral lists this ribosomal RNA (324 nucleotides) under uncultured bacterium. Its description in RNAcentral is "bacterial SSU rRNA". It matches the Rfam family "Bacterial small subunit ribosomal RNA", at positions 28 to 334 of the family's 1533-position model. The record is from RNAcentral.
GAUGAACGCUGGCGGCGUGCUUAACACAUGCAAGUCGAACGAGAAUCAACGGAUUGAGGAUUCGUCCAAAUGAAGUUGAGGAAAGUGGCGGACGGGUGAGUAACGCGUGAGGAACCUGCCUCGGAGUGGGGAAUAACAGUUGGAAACAGCUGCUAAUACCGCAUAAUGUUUCCGGUCCGCAUGGACUGGAAACCAAAGCUUUAUGUGCUGAAAGAUGGCCUCGCGUCUGAUUAGAUAGUUGGUGGGGUAACGGCCUACCAAGUCAACGAUCAGUAGCCGGUCUGAGAGGAUGAACGGCCACAUUGGGACUGAGAUACGGCCCAG